RNAcentral lists this ribosomal RNA (2670 nucleotides) under Staphylococcus aureus. RNAcentral's name for it is "partial 23S ribosomal RNA". It matches the Rfam family "Bacterial large subunit ribosomal RNA". Lineage: Bacteria; Bacillati; Bacillota; Bacilli; Caryophanales; Staphylococcaceae. The record is from RNAcentral.
AGCGAAACGGGAAGAGCCCAAACCAACAAGCUUGCUUGUUGGGGUUGUAGGACACUCUAUACGGAGUUACAAAGGACGACAUUAGACGAAUCAUCUGGAAAGAUGAAUCAAAGAAGGUAAUAAUCCUGUAGUCGAAAAUGUUGUCUCUCUUGAGUGGAUCCUGAGUACGACGGAGCACGUGAAAUUCCGUCGGAAUCUGGGAGGACCAUCUCCUAAGGCUAAAUACUCUCUAGUGACCGAUAGUGAACCAGUACCGUGAGGGAAAGGUGAAAAGCACCCCGGAAGGGGAGUGAAAUAGAACCUGAAACCGUGUGCUUACAAGUAGUCAGAGCCCGUUAAUGGGUGAUGGCGUGCCUUUUGUAGAAUGAACCGGCGAGUUACGAUUUGAUGCAAGGUUAAGCAGUAAAUGUGGAGCCGUAGCGAAAGCGAGUCUGAAUAGGGCGUUUAGUAUUUGGUCGUAGACCCGAAACCAGGUGAUCUACCCUUGGUCAGGUUGAAGUUCAGGUAACACUGAAUGGAGGACCGAACCGACUUACGUUGAAAAGUGAGCGGAUGAACUGAGGGUAGCGGAGAAAUUCCAAUCGAACCUGGAGAUAGCUGGUUCUCUCCGAAAUAGCUUUAGGGCUAGCCUCAAGUGAUGAUUAUUGGAGGUAGAGCACUGUUUGGACGAGGGGCCCCUCUCGGGUUACCGAAUUCAGACAAACUCCGAAUGCCAAUUAAUUUAACUUGGGAGUCAGAACAUGGGUGAUAAGGUCCGUGUUCGAAAGGGAAACAGCCCAGACCACCAGCUAAGGUCCCAAAAUAUAUGUUAAGUGGAAAAGGAUGUGGCGUUGCCCAGACAACUAGGAUGUUGGCUUAGAAGCAGCCAUCAUUUAAAGAGUGCGUAAUAGCUCACUAGUCGAGUGACACUGCGCCGAAAAUGUACCGGGGCUAAACAUAUUACCGAAGCUGUGGAUUGUCCUUUGGACAAUGGUAGGAGAGCGUUCUAAGGGCGUUGAAGCAUGAUCGUAAGGACAUGUGGAGCGCUUAGAAGUGAGAAUGCCGGUGUGAGUAGCGAAAGACGGGUGAGAAUCCCGUCCACCGAUUGACUAAGGUUUCCAGAGGAAGGCUCGUCCGCUCUGGGUUAGUCGGGUCCUAAGCUGAGGCCGACAGGCGUAGGCGAUGGAUAACAGGUUGAUAUUCCUGUACCACCUAUAAUCGUUUUAAUCGAUGGGGGGACGCAGUAGGAUAGGCGAAGCGUGCGAUUGGAUUGCACGUCUAAGCAGUAAGGCUGAGUAUUAGGCAAAUCCGGUACUCGUUAAGGCUAAGCUGUGAUGGGGAGAAGACAUUGUGUCUUCGAGUCGUUGAUUUCACACUGCCGAGAAAAGCCUCUAGAUAGAAAAUAGGUGCCCGUACCGCAAACCGACACAGGUAGUCAAGAUGAGAAUUCUAAGGUGAGCGAGCGAACUCUCGUUAAGGAACUCGGCAAAAUGACCCCGUAACUUCGGGAGAAGGGGUGCUCUUUAGGGUUAACGCCCAGAAGAGCCGCAGUGAAUAGGCCCAAGCGACUGUUUAUCAAAAACACAGGUCUCUGCUAAACCGUAAGGUGAUGUAUAGGGGCUGACGCCUGCCCGGUGCUGGAAGGUUAAGAGGAGUGGUUAGCUUCUGCGAAGCUACGAAUCGAAGCCCCAGUAAACGGCGGCCGUAACUAUAACGGUCCUAAGGUAGCGAAAUUCCUUGUCGGGUAAGUUCCGACCCGCACGAAAGGCGUAACGAUUUGGGCACUGUCUCAACGAGAGACUCGGUGAAAUCAUAGUACCUGUGAAGAUGCAGGUUACCCGCGACAGGACGGAAAGACCCCGUGGAGCUUUACUGUAGCCUGAUAUUGAAAUUCGGCACAGCUUGUACAGGAUAGGUAGGAGCCUUUGAAACGUGAGCGCUAGCUUACGUGGAGGCGCUGGUGGGAUACUACCCUAGCUGUGUUGGCUUUCUAACCCGCACCACUUAUCGUGGUGGGAGACAGUGUCAGGCGGGCAGUUUGACUGGGGCGGUCGCCUCCUAAAAGGUAACGGAGGCGCUCAAAGGUUCCCUCAGAAUGGUUGGAAAUCAUUCAUAGAGUGUAAAGGCAUAAGGGAGCUUGACUGCGAGACCUACAAGUCGAGCAGGGUCGAAAGACGGACUUAGUGAUCCGGUGGUUCCGCAUGGAAGGGCCAUCGCUCAACGGAUAAAAGCUACCCCGGGGAUAACAGGCUUAUCUCCCCCAAGAGUUCACAUCGACGGGGAGGUUUGGCACCUCGAUGUCGGCUCAUCGCAUCCUGGGGCUGUAGUCGGUCCCAAGGGUUGGGCUGUUCGCCCAUUAAAGCGGUACGCGAGCUGGGUUCAGAACGUCGUGAGACAGUUCGGUCCCUAUCCGUCGUGGGCGUAGGAAAUUUGAGAGGAGCUGUCCUUAGUACGAGAGGACCGGGAUGGACAUACCUCUGGUGUACCAGUUGUCGUGCCAACGGCAUAGCUGGGUAGCUAUGUGUGGACGGGAUAAGUGCUGAAAGCAUCUAAGCAUGAAGCCCCCCUCAAGAUGAGAUUUCCCAACUUCGGUUAUAAGAUCCCUCAAAGAUGAUGAGGUUAAUAGGUUCGAGGUGGAAGCAUGGUGACAUGUGGAGCUGACGAAUACUAAUCGAUCGAAGACUUAAUCAA